RNAcentral lists this long non-coding RNA (486 nucleotides) under Ananas comosus (pineapple). RNAcentral's name for it is "long non-coding RNA (ACOM_LNC027541)". The record is from RNAcentral. Lineage: Eukaryota; Viridiplantae; Streptophyta; Magnoliopsida; Poales; Bromeliaceae.
GUACCUGUCCAGAUAGAUGUCAACGGAUCGGAUUCGGUGUAGAUUUUCAAAAAUCCGAACCCGAACCCAACUCUAAACCCGAGACCCGAACCUGAAUCCGAACCCGAUGGAUUUUAAAAAUCCAUAUCCAAACCCGAACCCGACCAAAAAUCCGAAACCCGAACCAGAACCCGAACCCAAAAAUUUGAAUCCGAAAUAAUUAUUUUUUUUACAAUAUUUCAAAAUAUAUUAUAUUAAAUAUAAAUUUUUAAAAUACAAAUUCAAAUAUAACAUCAAAUUUUUAUAUAUUUAUUAUAUAUAAUACAAUAUAAAUUUAGUUUCGGGUCGGGUUCGGGUUCGGGUUCGGGUCGGGUACAAUCAAAAUCCAUAUCCGAAUCUAUAUCCGUCGAAUUUCUAUUUUUGAUAUCCAUAUCUGAAUUCAUAUCCAUUUAGCAUCAGAUAUAUUCGUUUCAUUCGAGUUCGGGUUCGAUACAAUUUCGAGUUUCC